GCUGGCGGCGCGCCUAACACAUGCAAGUCGAACGAGAAAGUGGAGCAAUCCAUGAGUACAGUGGCGUACGGGUGAGUAACACGUGGGUGAUCUACCUCUUAGUGAGGAAUAACCCUGGGAAACCGGGGCUAAUACCGCAUAAGCCUGAGAAGGGAAAGCAGCAAUGCGCUGAGAGAGGAGCCCGCGGCCGAUUAGCUAGUUGGUGAGGUAAAAGCCCACCAAGGCAGAGAUCGGUAGCCGGCCUGAGAGGGCACACGGCCACACUGGCACUGAAACACGGGCCAGACUCCUACGGGAGGCAGCAGUGGGGAAUCUUGCACAAUGGGGGAAACCCUGAUGCAGCGACGCCGCGUGAGCGAUGAAGCCCUUCGGGGUGUAAAGCUCUUUCGUCAGGGAAGAUCAUGACGGUACCUGGAGAAGCAGCUGCGGCUAACUACGUGCCAGCAGCCGCGGUAAUACGUAGGCAGCAAGCGUUGUUCGGAGUUACUGGGCGUAAAGGGUGUGU
This 505-nucleotide ribosomal RNA is filed under the name uncultured soil bacterium. RNAcentral's name for it is "bacterial SSU rRNA". It matches the Rfam family "Bacterial small subunit ribosomal RNA", at positions 35 to 572 of the family's 1533-position model. The record is from RNAcentral.